Phragmites australis (common reed) is the source of this 4091-nucleotide long non-coding RNA. RefSeq lists it as uncharacterized. The transcript is spliced from 3 exons. NCBI's taxonomy places the organism in Eukaryota, Viridiplantae, Streptophyta, Magnoliopsida, Poales, Poaceae. The record is from RefSeq and is a predicted model, not a curated record.
GCUGGCUCUCGCGAACGGAUAAGGUCUGGUUCCCGUAUGGACUGCCCGCCUCCUCUUCCUCACCUCGCUGCGCCGCAGGGCGGCGGCGGUCGCCUCCUCCUCCUCCGCUUCCCCUGCCGCCGCACCCGCCGACGCCAUCCACGACGCCGCGCUCUUCCCUCCUGCCUCGUAACCUGCACAGGCGCCGUCCCAGGUCCCACAAACCCACCUGCAUUCGACUUCUCCCGAGCCCGAGCCCAUGGCUGAGAAGGAAGCUGACGCUGACAAGUACAAGGAGAAGGAGAAAGCACAAGUCCUGGCGCCCGCUCCAUCCGCCGAGGAGGUAAAGGCCGCAAACGGCGGCACUGCCGAUGGCGAGCAGGCCGGGAACGGAGAGGCGAAGAGCCACGAGGAGAUGAACGGCGACAAGAAGGCCGGUGUGGAGGUCGGCGCCAUCACGGCCGUUGCGGUCGUCGGGCUCCCCACACCUCCCCAGAGCAGCCUGUGCCUCCCCGCGCGCCCCCUCCCCCUUCCCCGUGGCAGCCCGCUUCCCCCGCCGCCCCUACCUACGAGGGACACAACAUGCUGGCCUCCCUCUCUCAGUACUUCUCAGUCCCAAUCCCCUUCCUCUCUCUUCUCCUCUCAGUAUCUGGCUGCGAUUGGUGCGGUAGCGACUCGGCGCCGGCCGAACCGCCGGUCACCGGCCCUAUGGUCAGCAUCUUCGUCACCCCCAUGGAGCCGCCGCAUGUGGCCUCGCAGUCGACGCCGCUCACCAGUCGUUUGCAACUAUUGGUGGUCGAGGUGGGUCUUCGGCAUCUCCAAUCGCGCUUUCCCGGCAGUCUCGUUGCUUGAUUUGAGACCUGGACGUGUUUCUCCGUGGCCCUACCCUGGGUCUCCUUGCUCGCACUGAUGCAGCAGGAUUUUGGCCUUCGCGUGCCGGCGGCUACCUUCUUCCAUCCUCACUGGUCGUCACCAUGAGAUGACGGUGGCACGGCCUCCGCAACUCCGUUGUAGGCUGCUUCUUCAGGUAUUACUUCUCUCUUUCCCUCCGCUCUCGUGAUUGCUCUCAAUGUUGUGCUGCGAUGACAGGCACUGAUGGUAAUAUAUGCCUGCUAAAUCAUAUGAAUGGAGAUGCAAUCGUGCAUUAUUAUGUGAUGACUGAUAAUCAAUUAUACAUUUUCAGAUGAUGUCCUCAAAAUUAAAUCGAUAAUGUACAUCUGAGAGUAAAUUCCUCAUCUUACUAUCAUGCUUCAUAAUAACAAAUGUCAACUUCAAUUUGACCCUCUUCACUGUAAAUCUGUGAUAAUGUGUCUGAGAGUAAGGUGUGCAUGUUGACUUUAAAGAACAGCUGCUAUGACUUGAUCUAGGCAUAAUAAUAUAUUUAAAGCUAGCUCGAUGAUGGCAUGUAGACUUAGAGCAAUUUCAUUUGUCUAUUUUGCUUCGCAGUGUUCCAAUAUUUUCCAAAAAAAAAAAGUGCUAACCACGUACCUGUGUGCCCACUGUCAAAAUUUUGUAGCUCCUACAAAGGCUCCCUUAGCACUGCAUGUGUGUAUGAAUUGAACUUUCUGCUUUUUUACUAAUUAUGGAGCGCAAUUAAGUUAGUGCAAACAAAAAUGUUAAUUAAAGAAACCACGAUCUGCCUUCACUGAAGCAUUCACAUGAAUGAUCUGCCAUCAAAAUUCCAUCAUAGCUGAUGAACGAAUCACUUAAUCUGCCUUAAUUGGUAAAGUUAAUCCGGUUCACAAUUUCUCAUUCUCGCUACUGAUCAAUAUCUUUUAAUCGCUAACUUGCAUGAUCACCAAUAAGAAUUGCAGUCUGAAUAGUCCUUUACGAAUACAUUAAUUCCUGAACCGACAAGUUGUAUGCAAGAAUUCCACCUUUCAUGUUUCCAGGAGCCCCAUGGCAACUAAAUCAGUAAGCUGACAGGUACCUCAUUAUCUGCCACUGUUUUCCUCAUAUGAUGGUUAGUCAUGAUUUCGGUAUUGAAAAGGGUUCCUAAUGAUCUUUUAAUCGCUAACUUGCAUGAUCACCAAUAAGAAUUGCAGUCUGAAUAGUCCUUUACGAAUACAUUAAUUCCUGAACCGACAAGUUGUAUGCAAGAAUUCCACCUUUCAUGUUUCCAGGAGCCCCAUGGCAACUAAAUCAGUAAGCUGACAGGUACCUCAUUAUCUGCCACUGUUUUCCUCAUAUGAUGAUUAGUCAUGAUUUCGGUAUUGAAAAGGGUUCCUAAUGAUGUAAUUUGCCAAGACAGUUUGCUAAGACAGUUUGAAAAGGGUGCCUAAUGUCAUAUGCUUCUGAGGCCAGUUUCAUAGUUUGUUUUUUAGUAUUAGGUAUAUUACCUCUGCCAUAUUUAGGUACAGUUAUGUGUUCAAAAGUUCUUCAGUAUUGCUAUUUAACAUGCACAUAAAAAUUUCUGCCAUUUAACCCACCUUUUCUUUUUCAACACAUAUAUUUUGCACCACGGAGAAAAAUGAAGAUAUAUUUGCGAAGAGCAAAGAGCUGAAUGUGGAUGAAGAUUGAGGUCAUCUUAGCUGGUAGAAUCAAUCGGGACACUAAGCUGAGGAAGAGAGAGUUUGGAGCGUCAGCAUUGUUCACCCUCAUCACCAUUGCCAUGAGUCUUUUUGAAUGACUAUUAAAAACUGCUAGGCUCUUUGUAUUUAGGAUAUACAUGCAAUCUGCUGGAGCCUAAAAAAAUGGCCUCACAAUUAACAUCAAAUACAUCUUUUUAGUUAACAGGUCAGUAUGUGAUACUUGAAAGCGCUGCUACUUUAUUUUGCUUCGGAUUAGUCAGUGCCUUUUGUUAGAUUGCAAAAUCAAGGUACCAGCAAGAUAUUUACUUGCUACAAUUGGUCGAUUUGCUAAUCUUAUACUUCAUCUAGCUUCAUUAGCAAAGCUGUACACUAGGAUCAGGAUAUAAAUCAUGUUACAGUGCGAAAGAUACGAUGCUAUGCCACUUUUUGGGGAGUUUCUCUCUUCAUUUCAGGUUGAUACUUAUGGGGAAUGCGAUCUCCUGUCUUGAUGGUACAUGCACCUGAAAGGUGAUGAUCUAAACUCGCUGCAACCCAAAGACCUGGUCAUGAUUGAUUAGGCACCUGAUAAUGGGCUGACGAACCUGAACGAAAAAAUGGUAACAAAUCUAUUCAAUCAAAGAUCCUGUUGUUUUGAUAUGGCAUUAGUCUGUUUUGUUGAGGCAGAUGGAAUAUUGGGAAAGGCACAUGAGAAGCGUAUGAGCUUAAUCUAACCAUGUGAUUUUGUAUUAUAAAUUAUGUUUGAACAUAUGGCUGUUUCACAUUCUUGAUUUCUUUCCCUCAUCCAUUGUUUUCUUGGUUGACUGCUGAAUAAGAUGUUGGAAGAUGAGAAUAAAUUGCUGGCCUUUAAACUGUUGGUUAUUCAGUUAGGCGGUUGCGCGGAUUGUGUGCACGUGCAGCUAGUUCAUCGCCAUGACCGCGAGUCCGUGGGAUGGCACGUUGGAAUCGGGAUCAUGGCGCAUCUUUCUGUUAGUUUGAUCGCAAUAAAUGGCAAGAGGAGCACGAGAAAACGCUGCGACUUCAUCAGCACAAAAACCAACCUCUGUCAGACACAUUCAGUUACUGUUGCGUUUUGGCAAUUGGUUGAAUUCCGUCAGGUGCUUCAGCCGAGCGCCUGAACAGCAGAGUUUGUGAGAGAGUAAGUGCCUGGUUUCCAACGAAGCCAACUCGACGAGAACGCGCGCGUGACGGGGGAAGCAAUGACUACAUCUUCUCCAGACGGUUGGCUGCUCCUGCUCGUAAGAAUUCGUUCUGCAUGCCUGGCUCUGUGCAGAAUUUUGCAGACACCACUCCAGGUACCGUUCAGUAGGCGCCUAUGUCGAGUUUGAAAAGAUUGAAGUUUCCAACUUGGGUAUCAAAGUGCAUAUCGAUCGACCUCUGCAUGGCACAAGAGUAACCGUGGAUUUGUAGCACUUGUGGCUGACCGAAGACAUCAGCGAACACAGUGUGUCGCAGUCGCAGCAGCGAUGCUCUUGCCGGAGUCCGAAAAAUAGUACUGUGCUGCAAGGGAGACGCUUUCGCUAGUAUGUAUGUGUUGAGUUCCUGAUCGAAUCGUGUCCCCACUCCUCGCACAGGUUAGACCCG